AGCAGCCGCGGUAAUUCCAGCUCCAAUAGCGUAUAUUAAAGUUGCUGCAGUUAAAAAGCUCGUAGUUGAAUUUCGGGGUUAGUAGGUUGGUCAUGCCUCUGGUAUGUACUGGUCUAACUGAUUCCUCCUUCCUGAUGAACCUUAAUGCCAUUAAUUUGGUGUUUUGGGGAAUUUGGACUGUUACUUUAGAAAAAAUUAGAGUAGUUUAAAGCAAGCUAACGCUUGAAUACAUUAGCAUGGAAUAAUGAAAUAGGACGUUCGAUCCUAUUUUGUUGGUUUCUAGGAUUGACGUAAUAAUUAAUAGGGAUAGUUGGGGGCAUUAGUAUUCAAUUGUCAGAGGUGAAAUUCUUGGAUUUAUUGAAGACUAACUACUGCGAAAGCAUUUGCCAAGGAUGUUUUCAUUAAUCAAGAACGAAAGUUAGGGGAUCGAAGACGAUCAGAUACCGUCGUAGUCUUAACCAUAAACUAUGCCGACUAGGGAUCGGAUGAUGUUAAUUUUUUAAUUGUACUCAUUCGGCGC
This 520-nucleotide ribosomal RNA is filed under the name uncultured Glomus. RNAcentral's name for it is "SSU rRNA". It matches the Rfam family "Eukaryotic small subunit ribosomal RNA", at positions 569 to 1086 of the family's 1831-position model. Lineage: Eukaryota; Fungi; Glomeromycota; Glomeromycetes; Glomerales; Glomeraceae. The record is from RNAcentral.